UACCAGAUUUUGUUCUUGAUGCUC
RNAcentral lists this non-coding RNA (24 nucleotides) under Arabidopsis thaliana (thale cress). The record is from RNAcentral. Lineage: Eukaryota; Viridiplantae; Streptophyta; Magnoliopsida; Brassicales; Brassicaceae.